Mercenaria mercenaria is the source of this 539-nucleotide long non-coding RNA. RefSeq lists it as uncharacterized. Lineage: Eukaryota; Metazoa; Mollusca; Bivalvia; Venerida; Veneridae. The transcript is spliced from 5 exons. The record is from RefSeq and is a predicted model, not a curated record.
GGUGCUUCAGUUCAGUGUAGAAGAUUCUUUCCUGCGAGAUCUUGGACCGAAAGAGAAAUCCGUGAUACUGAUACAGUAGUGACAGGUAUAAAGAAGGGACCGACUAAACAUUUGCUUACGGUUACCUUCAUACAAGGAAAAGACAAGUGUGUAGAUGCCAGAAAUUUCAGAGCCAAAGAUGAGUGCAAUGAAUCGUUCCUUCCCCUAGAGACAAGGGCAACCUUUAUUGAGAAGUUUGAAGAGAAAGUGACAGAAUUGGCGAACAAUAGCAACAACACUAGCAGUGAAUCUGGGUCCUCGGCGGCCAGUGACACAGUGCAUGACUGCUACAAAUGGUUCCGAUGAACGCACUGACAGCUUGAAAGAGGAGAUUGACAUAUUGAAGGAAGAGAACAAGAAUAAAUAUGCCAUUGUGAAAAAGUUGCAAGAAGAAAAUCAGCAAUUAAAGGUAAUAAAAGUGUUGAUAUUGUAGUUUAUGAGAGUCUUACAUGCUGGCCUAGUAAAUCUAGCUAGUCUAAAUUGUGGAAAGAAUACAUAGU